GACGAACGCUGGCGGCGUGCCUAACACAUGCAAGUCGAGCGGGGUUGAAGCGAGAGGUAACUCGAACUUCUACCUAGCGGCGGACGGGUGAGUAACGCGUGGGCAACCUGCCUCAAGGUCUGGGAUAACAGCCCGAAAGGGCUGCUAAUACCGGGUAUGCUUGUGGCCUCGCAUGGGGCUACGAGCAAAGGGGAAACCCGCCUUGAGAUGGGCCCGCGUCCCAUCAGCUAGUUGGUGAGGUAACAGCUCACCAAGGCGACGACGGGUAGCCGGCCUGAGAGGGUGACCGGCCACACUGGGACUGAGACACGGCCCAGACUCCUACGGGGGGCAGCAGUGGGGGAUCUUGCACAAUGGGCGAAAGCCUGAUGCAGCGACGCCGCGUGAGCGAAGAAGGCCUUCGGGUUGUAAAGCUCUGUCUGGAGGGACGAAGGAAGUGGACGGUACCUCCCGGAGGGAAGCCACGGCUAACUACGUG
This 478-nucleotide ribosomal RNA is filed under the name uncultured bacterium. Its description in RNAcentral is "bacterial SSU rRNA". It matches the Rfam family "Bacterial small subunit ribosomal RNA", at positions 28 to 507 of the family's 1533-position model. The record is from RNAcentral.